AUAUGGUUUGAGCAACCUGAGUCAACAAUCCAAUCAUUCUCAUAAUCAAUUUGAUUAAAUGUUAUUGUACAUGCUGUCUCUUCUUCAUCUGCAGCAAAAAACGCCUCAGCAUCCCACUCGUCUUCACCUUUGGAAGUUGCAACAUUGCUUUCCACACCCUUCUUCUUAGAUCAGCAGUCUUUCGCCAUAUGACCCUUUUUUUUGCAGUUGUAGCACUUCCCUU
RNAcentral lists this long non-coding RNA (223 nucleotides) under Ricinus communis (castor bean). Its description in RNAcentral is "long non-coding RNA (RCOM_LNC001044)". Lineage: Eukaryota; Viridiplantae; Streptophyta; Magnoliopsida; Malpighiales; Euphorbiaceae. The record is from RNAcentral.